Molecule: RNA transcript, 1152 nt
Organism: Sapajus apella (tufted capuchin)
Lineage: Eukaryota; Metazoa; Chordata; Mammalia; Primates; Cebidae
Gene name: high mobility group protein B2 pseudogene
Exons: 1
Source: RefSeq, a predicted model, not a curated record
AAGAGAGAAAAGAGUUUACGCCGGAGCCUCGCGAGGGAAGCGUCUUAGUCGUGUCCGGCCGCUUUGCGGGACCCUGAGGAAAAGCUCGUACCAGGUGGACGCCGCUCUGUUCGCCAUGGGUAAAGGAGGCCCCAACAAGCCGAGGGGCAAAAGGUCCUCGUACGCCUUCUUCGUGCAGACCUGCCGGGAAGAGCACAAGAAGAAACACCCGGACUCUUCCGUCAAUUUCACGGAGUUCUCCAAGAAGUGUGCGGAGAGAUGGAAGACCGUGUCUGCAAAGGAGAAGUCGAAGUCUGAAGAUAUGGCAAAAAGUGGCAAAGCUCGCUAUGAUAGGGAGAUGAAAAAUUACGUCCUUCCCAAAGGUCAUAAGAAAGGAAAGGAAAAGGAUCCCAAUGCUCCUAAAAGGCCGCCAUCUGCCUUCUUCCUGUUUUGCUCUGAACACCGCCCAAACAUCAAAAGUGAACACCCAGGCCUAUCCAUUGGGGAUACGGCAAAGACAUUGGGUGGAAUGUGGUCUGAGCAGUCAGCCAAAGAUAAACAACCGUAUGAACAGAAAGGAGCUAAACUAAAGGAGAAAUAUGAAAAGGAUAUUGCUGCAUAUUGUGCCAAGGGCAAAAGUGAAGCAGGAAAGAAAGGCCCUGGCAGGCCAACAGGCUCAAAGAAGAAGAAUGAACCAGAAGAUGGGGAGGAGGAGGAGGAGGAGGAAGAAGAUGAAGAUGAUGAGGAAGAGGAUGAAGAUGAAGAAUAAAUGGCUAUCCUUUAAUGAUGAGUGUGGAGUGUGCGUGUGUGCUCAGGCAAUCGUUUUCCUAAGAAUGUCAAUUCAAGUGCAGCUCAAUAUUAGCUUCAGUAUAAAAAUGUACAGAUUUUUGUAGAGCUGAUAAGAUUCUCUGUAGAGAAAAUACUUUUUAAAAACUGCAGGUUGUAGCUUUUCGAUGGGCUACUACAUACAGUUAGAUUUUACAACUUCUGAUGUUGAAUGUUCCUAAAUAUUUAAUGGUUUUUUAAAUUUCUUGACUUGUGUAUGGUAGCACAGCAAACUUGUAGGAAUUAGUAUCAAUAGUAAAUUUUUGGUUUUUUAGGAUGUUGCCUUUUGUUUUUUAAGAAAAAAAUUUUGUAAUAAAAUUAUGUAUAUUAAAAAAAAAGAAAAAACAA